GCUGGCGGCAUGCUUAACACAUGCAAGUCGAACGGUAACAGCGGGAGCUUGCUCCCGGCUGACGAGUGGCGGACGGGUGAGUAACGCAUAGGAAUCUGCCCAAUAGUGGGGGACAACCUGGGGAAACUCAGGCUAAUACCGCAUACGCCCUACGGGGGAAAGGCUUCGGCCGCUAAUGGAUGAGCCUAUGUCUGAUUAGCUUGUUGGUAGGGUAACGGCCUACCAAGGCAACGAUCAGUAGCUGGUCUGAGAGGACGAUCAGCCACACUGGGACUGAGACACGGCCCAGACUCCUACGGGAGGCAGCAGUGGGGAAUAUUGCACAAUGGGCGAAAGCCUGAUGCAGCAAUGCCGCGUGUGUGAAGAAGGCCUGCGGGUUGUAAAGCACUUUCAGUAGGGAGGAUUAUGACGUUACCUACAGAAGAAGCACCGGCUAACUCUGUGCCAGCAGCCGCGGUAAUACAGAGGGUGCGAGCGUUAAUCGGAAUUAC
RNAcentral lists this ribosomal RNA (491 nucleotides) under uncultured Gammaproteobacteria bacterium. Its description in RNAcentral is "bacterial SSU rRNA". It matches the Rfam family "Bacterial small subunit ribosomal RNA", at positions 35 to 554 of the family's 1533-position model. The record is from RNAcentral. Lineage: Bacteria; Pseudomonadati; Pseudomonadota; Gammaproteobacteria.